This 497-nucleotide ribosomal RNA is filed under the name uncultured bacterium. RNAcentral describes it as "partial 16S ribosomal RNA". It matches the Rfam family "Bacterial small subunit ribosomal RNA", at positions 28 to 507 of the family's 1533-position model. The record is from RNAcentral.
GAUGAACGCUGGCGGCGUGCCUAAUACAUGCAAGUCGAGCGAACAGACGAGGAGCUUGCUCCUCUGACGUUAGCGGCGGACGGGUGAGUAACACGUGGAUAACCUACCUAUAAGACUGGGAUAACUACGGGAAACCGGAGCUAAUACCGGAUAAUAUAUUGAACCGCAUGGUUCAAUAGUGAAAGACGGUUUUGCUGUCGCUUAUAGAUGAAUCCGCGCCGCAUUAGCUAGUUGGUACGGUAACGGCUUACCAAGGCAACGAUGCGUAGCCGACCUGAGAGGGUGAUCGCCCACACUGGAACUGAGACACGGUCCAGACUCCUACGGGAGGCAGCAGUAGGGAAUCUUCCGCGAUGGGCGAAUGCCUGACGGAGCAACGCCGCGUGAGUGAUGAAGGUCUUCGGCUCGUAAAGCGCUGUUAUUAGGGAAGAACAAAUGUGUAAUUAACUAUGCUCGUAUUGACGGUACCUAAUCAGAAAGCCACGGCUAACUACGUG